Molecule: unclassified non-coding RNA, 2240 nt
Filed under: Hevea brasiliensis (rubber tree)
Lineage: Eukaryota; Viridiplantae; Streptophyta; Magnoliopsida; Malpighiales; Euphorbiaceae
Source: RNAcentral
AAGGAAUUUAAAAGUUGCAUCAUUUUUCAUUCAUAACCUGUAUCGUUGUUUGUCGCAUGUGGACUUUUUUCAACCACUCCAAUAUAAAAACUUCUCCAAGGGAGUUUAGACAGAAUUAUGGUCCCAUGCUUCCUCUGGCAUUUUGUGGUCAGCUAAGGGCCAUUUCAUUUAAAUAUUGACAGGAUAGACCAUGACAUCAAUGUUAAACAAAUGCGAUUGCAACACGAUCUUACGUCACAAGUGACAACUUAAAACUUGGCCAAGAAGAUUAUCCUAGCUCCCAGCUUCCCACGCCCUGCCUUUGCCGACUUUUGGUACCCAACUAAAAGCUAGCCGUCAAUUCUGAAUGUUCUGUGCAUUCUAUAUAUAAACGCAACCACCCCUUAACCUUUUCUUUAUAUGAGCACCAAAUUGGGAUAGAUUCAGUAGACUAUAAAGAACAGAGUAGAAGAGAGAUUAGGCUGGGCAAAAUGAUUCAUUUGAAGCAAGGUGAUAUGUUGGCUCAAGUAGGAUCUGUAAUUGCUAGUAUAAUGUUUGUUUGGGCCAUGUUCAAACAGUACUUCCCAUACGAACUGCGAGAUCGUCUUGAGAAGUACACUCAAAAAGUCUUCGCCUUUGUUUACCCUUACAUUCAAAUCACAUUCCAUGAGUUCACCGGAGAGCGUCUGAUGCGCAGUGAAGCUUACUCCGCUAUUGAGACUUACCUUAGCUCCAGUUCUUCUAUGCAGGCCAAGCGGCUCAAGGCUGAGGUAGUCAAGAACAAUCAGUCACUUGUUCUGAGCAUGGAUGAUAAUGAAGAGGUUGCUGAUGAAUUCAAAGGAGUCAAGCUAUGGUGGGCUUCUGGGAAGAAUGUUUUCAAGUCGCAGACAUUUUCUUUCCAUCAGUUUACAGAUGAGAAAAGGUACUACAAGCUCAGGUUCCAUAAGAGACAUAGAGAUCUCAUCAUUGGGCCAUACCUCAAUCAUGUCCUGAAAGAGGGUAGAGCACUCAAGGUGAGAAAUCGCCAGAGGAAGCUUUACACUAAUAGUGGGUCUUACUGGAGCCAUGUAGUGUUUGAGCAUCCUGCUACAUUCAAGACACUAGCAAUGGAGCCAGAGAAGAAGAAGGAGAUUAUAGAAGACCUGAUCACAUUCAGUCAGGCAGAAGAAUUCUAUGCAAGAAUUGGCAGGGCCUGGAAGAGAGGUUAUCUCCUGUAUGGUCCUCCAGGGACUGGUAAGUCCACUAUGAUUGCAGCCAUGGCCAAUCUUUUGAAUUAUGACAUUUAUGAUCUAGAAUUAACUGCUGUAAAGGACAACACUGAAUUGAGAAAGCUAUUAAUUGAGACAUCAAGCAAAUCUGUUGUUGUGAUAGAGGACAUUGAUUGUUCUCUUGAUCUCACUGGUCAAAGGAUGAAGAAAAAGGAAGAAGAAAAAGAGGGGGAUGAGAAGGAUCAGAAACCAAAAUCCCCAAAGGAAGAAAGAGAUGGGAAAAGCAGCCAAGUUACUCUUUCUGGACUAUUGAAUUUUAUCGAUGGGUUAUGGUCAGCUUGUGGAGGAGAAAGGCUCAUCGUCUUCACAACGAAUUUUGUGGAGAAACUUGACCCAGCUCUUAUCAGGAAAGGAAGGAUGGACAAACACAUAGAAUUGUCCUAUUGCAGCUUUGAGGCAUUCAAGGUGUUGGCUAAAAAUUACCUUCAACUUGAAUCACACCACCUGUUUGAUAAAAUUAGUGACUUGUUGAAGGAAGCCAAAAUGACUCCUGCCGAUGUAGCUGAGCAUUUGAUGCCGAAGACUGUUCCUUGGAAUGCUGAAGUCUGCUUGGAGAGUCUUAUUGGAGCCCUUGAAACGGCAAAAGAGGAAGCGAAGUUGAAAGCUGAGGAAGGACAACGAGAGAAGGAAUCAUCAUCAGCCAGAGAAGAAGCGAAAGAGGCAGAUAACAAGGGCCCAAUAUCAGGAAAAGAGUAGUAGAAAAUCUAAAGCUUUUGAAAUAACCAGAUAUGAUGAAAUUAGAACCAGUGGUUUUCUGUUAAUAUUUUCUCCCUAAACACAGCAUGACAGCAAUUAGGCCAUAUCCUAUGGUUCCAUUCCAAUCAUUAUCAAUGUAAUCCAAUUCUUUUUUCAAUGGAUGAUGUCCCAAAAUCUGUAGUGUAAAAAAAGUCCCAAUUCCUUUUAACUUUCUGUUCAUUUCUGUGAUUUUCUGGGCUGGCUCUCGUUGUUGAGAAAUAGGAAAGGAGAAUAACCGGCUGCUAACCAGUCAUUAGG